Molecule: unclassified non-coding RNA, 727 nt
Filed under: Hevea brasiliensis (rubber tree)
Lineage: Eukaryota; Viridiplantae; Streptophyta; Magnoliopsida; Malpighiales; Euphorbiaceae
Source: RNAcentral
CCAGACUCCGCCACUAAGCAACAAAAGCUCACUCGAAUUCUAUAUCACUAAUGGAUUAUAAAACAUAAAAACAAGAUUAGCAGGGAAAAACAAAAAUAUAGAUAUCAGAAGGCCUCACGACUUGCUGAAGCGCGUGCACAACAAACGAAACCGGAGAGAUUCCAUGCCUUUCGGUCAAGAAACAACUACAGGAUUAGCUGGUGGUUAGAUCAGUAGAACAAGAAAGACAACAGUACAAAGAUAAGGAAACCACAUGAACAACAAGAACAACAGAACGAAAAGACCCCCUGCCGCUUAUAUACAACAUCCCCUUUUCAUAUGGUAAAUUGGCUUCACUUAAACUAGGAGAAAGAAAAAAAAAAUAUUAAGAAAAUCCCAUUGCAGAAAUCUCAAGAAUAGCACAAAACAAACUCUUAAAUGCUAAAUGAUGUUGUAGUUGUUACCCUUCUCAGUUUUACUCUUCUCUGUUAUGUUCGAUCAGUCCGGUUCCUGCUAUUCACCUGCUGUUGCUGCCCCUUGUUGCUCCCUUCUCUUUUUUGCGGCGACGAAGAAAACAGCUGACCAAACCCAAAUACGGAGACUGACUUGGAUGUCCCUCUCAGGGAACAAACGGGGACAUUGAGAACCGGAGUCACUCUCACGUUUGCUGAAUAUGACCUCUCCAUUCCCCUGUGCUUGAAUCUUGGGCCUCCGUUAAGGCUACUUGGACUGCUGGAACUCCUCUCCA